This 626-nucleotide ribosomal RNA is filed under the name Phlebia tremellosa. Its description in RNAcentral is "eukaryotic LSU rRNA". The stretch from base 219 to 372 matches the Rfam family "5.8S ribosomal RNA". Lineage: Eukaryota; Fungi; Basidiomycota; Agaricomycetes; Polyporales; Meruliaceae. The record is from RNAcentral.
CGGGUUGUCGCUGGUCCCGUUCUUAACAGAGUCGGGACAUGUGCACACCUGGCUUCAUUCCACUCUUCAACCCCUGUGCACUUGUUGUAGGUUUCAGGUCGGACGCGGGGCUUUCGACUUCAUCGUCGAGAGCCUCAAGGAAAGCCUGAGCCUAUGUUUUACCAUACACACGCUUCAGUUAUAGAAUGUAAACAUCGCGUAUAACGCAUUUUAAAUACAACUUUCAGCAACGGAUCUCUUGGCUCUCGCAUCGAUGAAGAACGCAGCGAAAUGCGAUAAGUAAUGUGAAUUGCAGAAUUCAGUGAAUCAUCGAAUCUUUGAACGCACCUUGCGCUCCUUGGUAUUCCGAGGAGCAUGCCUGUUUGAGUGUCAUGGAAUUCUCAACCUUUGAAAGCUUUUAUCGGUUCUCAAAGGCUUGGACUUGGAGGUCGUGUCGGCUCUGCAAAGAAUAUCGACUCCUCUGAAACGUAUCAGUGCGAACCUUUACGGAUCGUCUUCGGUGUGAUAAACGUCUACGCCGUGGUUGUGAAGUAUGAUCGUGUCCGUGCUUCUAACCGUCUCCUUUGCGAGACAAAAACUGUGUUACUUACUAUAAGUAACAUAGGCAUUCACAAUCUGACCUCAAA